UUAUUAUUAUUAUUAUCAUCAUUAUUAUAUUUGUACAUCUCCUAACACUGGAGAUGUCCUACGGUGUCAGCUGUUCACUACCAGUGAACUAAGGUAACACCCCUUAUUUUUCGAGCACCUUCCGGAGUAUUCGAGCGGGUCCAAGCAUUGCUGUUUUCUGCAAGUGCUCCACCCUUAUUGCAGCCC
Molecule: long non-coding RNA, 186 nt
Organism: Octopus sinensis (East Asian common octopus)
Lineage: Eukaryota; Metazoa; Mollusca; Cephalopoda; Octopoda; Octopodidae
Exons: 3
Source: RefSeq, a predicted model, not a curated record